UUCAGAUUUCAUAAAUAAAAAGAAAAUUUCUUCAAACAUUUUUUUGAGAGGAUUAAUAUUCAACAGCAUAGUGAAUUGCUCAAAGGCAAACAUUUUUUUUUUUUUAAGUUCAUUAGACCACAUUCAUUCUGUGUCAGAAACCUAUGCUGUGUCAACUAUUUAAUUACAAUCCAAAUUUAGAGCUGAAUCCAGCUUGAAUGUUGUGUCCAUAUUUGCCCCAACCGUUCAGGGUUCAACCUCUGCGGUCGUAUAAAGCUGCGCCCUGCGGAGCAUCUGGUCUUUUUUGAUAUGCUGAAUCUUACUGUGUAUUUAGAUUCUUAAUUUUUGAUCCCGUUUUCAAAUUGGUCUUCAUUAAGGUCCAAAGGGUCCAAAAGUAAAUUUUGUUUGAUUUCAACAUAAAUUGAAUAAAUGGGAUUCUUUGACAUGCUGAAUUUAACCAUGUAUUUAGAUUUUUUAUGUUUUGGCCCCUUUAUCAGAUCGGUCCACAUUGAGUUCUAAAGGGUCCAAAAUUGAAUUGUUUUUGAUUUCAUCAAAAAUUGAAUUCUUUGGGUUCUUUGAUAUGUUGAAUCUAACAAUGUAUUUAGAUUUCGACAUUGGACCAUAAUAGGUAAAUGUCCAAUUUAAAUUUUCUAAGUUCUUAGACCACAUUCAUUCUGUGUCAGAAACCUUUUCUGUGUCAACUAUUUAAUCACAAUCAAAAUUCAGAGCUGUAUCAAGCUUGAAUGUUGUGUCCAUACUUGCCCCAACUGUUCAGGGUUCAACCUCUGCGGUGGUAUCAAGCUGCGCUCUGCGGAGCAUCUGGUUAACUUUGAAUUUAAUUUGUAUAUUAUUUAUUGUCACUACAUCUCAUAAAAUAAACAUGUACUUAAUCAGGAUCAUUUAUGUUGAUUGUAUUAAACAAAAUGUAAUUAAAAGGUGUGGUAAACGUUAGAAAUCUCUUUAAAGAUGUUGAUGGAACCUCAUGUAUGGGUUGGUCUUUUUUUUAUUUCAGUGUUUUUAUUUAUGAACAAAUAUAUGGGAGAACUUUGACAUAUGACAUAAUGUUAAUAUAUAGGAUAUUUCUUAUAAAUGAAGAUUUUCACCAAUAUAAGCAUUUUAUGUCUUUUGUCCUGAAAACUGUAAUAGUUAUAGAUAAACAACUGUAAAAUAGCAACCAUGCUUUAUUACUAUCUUUGAAUAAAACCUUUAAAUGAAUCUUUACACGAGUUCUGGACCUUAGAUUGUAACAGUUGACAAUUUUUUAUACAACAAUACUGAAUGUGGAAAUUCUAACAUGAACAAAAUACUCAGAACAAGACAGAACUACCAAAAUUGUAAUUCAGUUGUUGCCCUUUGAUUGGGAUUUUUCUCUUGAACAGAAGAAUAGAUAAAUAUAGAAUGAGAAAAUACACAUGCAAACUUAAUAAACAUGUCAAAUAUUUCAUUUAGCAUUGCUAGGGAAAAUAGAAUAUUUAUACAGAUUUUUAGAAAAGCAUACGUGUUUAGUUGUGUGAUUAAACUACACAGAAUAUAAGUGUGAGAAUUUUAUUGGUGCAAUAUAGACUUUUUAGUAUGAGUAUUAGCAUUAAGUGGACUUAUACCGGAAAUCUCAUCUUAUUCAUAUAUUGACUUUCCAAAGGCAAGCUCUACAUACUAAUUUCAUUUUUUCUCUUUUAAUCUUAUUUUCUUUUCAUCUGUAAAACAUUUUAUUUGAAAACAAUAACAUAUAAAUUGACUGACUUGUAACUUUUAUAUUGUAAGUAGCAUUUUUUACAUUACAAAUACUGAAAAGUUGCUACAACAUUGUUGUAAAAUAUGCAUGUUGAAAAUAAAAAUGUUAGUUUAUUUUCCAUUUU
Molecule: long non-coding RNA, 1835 nt
Filed under: Mytilus galloprovincialis (Mediterranean mussel)
Lineage: Eukaryota; Metazoa; Mollusca; Bivalvia; Mytilida; Mytilidae
Source: RNAcentral